UUACCUGGACUUGACAUCCCUGGAACUGGUAGAGAUACUGGGUGCCCUGCUUGCAGGAACCAGGAGACAGGUGCUGCAUGGCUGUCGUCAGCUCGUGCCGUGAGAUGUUGGGUUAAGUCCCGCAACGAGCGCAACCCUCGUCGUACUGUUGCCAGCAUUCAGUUGGGGACUCGAUACGAGACUGCCGGGGUCAACUCGGAGGAAGGUGGGGAUGACGUCAAGUCAUCAUGCCCCUUAUGCCUAGGGCUGCACGCAUGCUACAAUGGCUGGUACAAAGGGCUGCAAUACCGUGAGGUGGAGCGAAUCCCAAAAAGCCAGUCUCAGUUCGGAUUGGGGUCUGCAACUCGACCCCAUGAAGUCGGAGUCGCUAGUAAUCGCAGAUCAGCAACGCUGCGGUGAAUACGUUCCCGGGCCUU
Molecule: ribosomal RNA, 416 nt
Filed under: uncultured Actinomycetales bacterium
Lineage: Bacteria; Bacillati; Actinomycetota; Actinomycetes; Actinomycetales
Description: bacterial SSU rRNA
Rfam family: Bacterial small subunit ribosomal RNA
Source: RNAcentral